UUACCUUGUCUUCUUUUUUAAUUGACGAAUUAAUCUUUCGCCUUUUACCAAAGAUUUCCGUUGUCAGUUGUGUUUAAGGGUUUUAUCUGCUUUUGUUCAAAUUUUUGUAAAAGGCUCGACUUU
Small nuclear RNA from Bactrocera tryoni, 123 nucleotides. RefSeq annotates it as U5 spliceosomal RNA. Lineage: Eukaryota; Metazoa; Arthropoda; Insecta; Diptera; Tephritidae. The transcript has a single exon. The record is from RefSeq and is a predicted model, not a curated record.